UUCGCGCGGGGGAGAGUUGACAGAUCUGACGAUAGUUUGGACGGCCGUCAGUCUCCGGCGAGGUGGGCCGUGGAACAGAAUCGGUGUUCCCCGUCUGAUCCGUGGACCAGGACAAUCGCUGAGGACUGCGGGUACGGUGUGGGCCAUUUGGGGGAAGCUGAGGACUGCGGCACAGAGGCGAUGAGCGCCGGCGGCGAGACAACAUGGAGUUCUGAUGCAGCCUAUCAGCAGUUUCAGAUCCAGUCUGCUGGAGGAGGUCGGGGAGAGCUUGGUGCCGGCUGCUAGUUGUCGUUGUCUUUGGUGUGGGGGAUUUGUAGGCGGUACCGCGGGCUGAGGCGACGCGGCACACCAGCGGACAGCGGAUAGCGGUGGUGAGCACAAGGGAGAGCUCGCCGCCGAUGUCGGAGCUGUCAACGGGGAAGACGAAUCCCCGAGCACUGGGGUGGAACCAGAGGCUAAGGAUUGGUAUUGCCUCCCCCAGCAAAACACCGCGCCUAAACCGAGGUAAGGCUGGGGUUGAGAACACAAGGUCUUGCCGUGGCCCAUAACGUUACAUUCUGUCUGGCUGCGGGGACAGGAACUUCACUUUUCCAUUCGACAAAAGGUUGCAAUUAUCCAGUUUUUCCUAGACAGAAGAGAAGCUGGGGCGGCGGCGUCCUUGCGUAGGAGGGCGGCGCCAUUGAAGACAUGGAAUUCUUUCUACAGCCGGUUAAAAGGUGAUGUAUCCCUAGACUCGUUCAAUUACGUAAGAUGAUAUAGCUGGAGCUGCAAUUUCUUAGAGAUUUCCCCCUCCCAACAUGUUAGGAUUCCAAUCCUUGAGGGGAUGGAUGGCACCGAUAGCCUGCUGGAUAUGGGGAAGUACGCCUGCCGACCCUUGGAGCUCCACUGCUGGCAGCCAUGAGUCAUAAGAAGUGGAAGUGAUGAGUGGGAGCCGUAGCUCCUAGAUGUGGAUGCCGGACCAGUUAACGGGAAGCGCAGCUCUCCGACUAUAUCUCAGCAAUCGAUGAGGAAGGUGAAUCCAGAGACUCUUGGAUGGACAAAUAGGGUCAGUAUUAAAUGUCGAGAGGACGAAAUGCAUGUAGGAAAUUAUUUGAGGUUGCGUGCUAAGUCUUGACGAUGCAAAAACCAGCAAAAAAGGUGAACUAGUUUGUGAAGGAAAUGAUUUUAAAUUUCUAUAUUGUUGAUAUACAGGGGAAGCAGGGUUAGAGAAUACACAGUCAUGCCGUUGUGAAUGCCCUGCACUGACCCAGUUGCUUAGGUCAGAGGACAAUGGUUUGUAAAUGUCUAAGCACAAGGAGAAAUACAAUCAUUCACUCUCUCCAAAUUGGCGGGAACUUGGGUUGUGACCAAGCGGAUGAUGAUGUGAGGAAAACGAUGGAAUUAUUUAAGGAGUUGGGUGCCAACAAUCCGUGGUUCACAUAUCGAGUUCAAGCAGAUUUGGAGGGCCGAAUAAAAUGUUUGAUGUGGAUGAAUGGUAGCAGCCAUUUGCGACUACAGGCGUCUGCGUGGUUUACAGGCGAGAUGAACCCUAGAGCUCUUGGCUGGACACAACAGUAUGUGCAUUCAGUGCUACAAAUUCCGAAAAAAGGUAACGAUUGGUGUGGCUGCGUAAAGGAGGACACCUUGUCCUAAUCGCCCAAGUUCGUUGGAGAAAGCAAUUCGUGGGUUCGCUGAGAAUCCAGGGGAAAAUGUGAUUGUACUGAAACUGGGUAUAAGAUUUGAUCUUUAGGUGAAGCAUACAACUUGUACUCCUGCGGGAAGGGGUUUGGUAUUACAUAUUGGAAAAGCAGACUAAAUGUUUAGAGGACAAAAUGCAGGCAGGAAAUCAUUUGCAGCUGUGCGGGAAGGCUGGCGUUGAGAACAGUCGGUCAUGCCAUUGUGAGUGUUGGGCUCUUAUACGAUUGUUGCGAUCGAAAGGCAAUGGUUGGUGCAUAUCAGAGCAUCGGGAGCAACACAUCCAAUCUUUGUCUCCUAAUUGCGGAGAGACAAUACACUGCCUUCACAGAAACACAUCGACGUUUACAACCGAGACUGGUGAAGCAGCUACGGCAAAAUAACGUCAAUCUAGCCAAGGUAUACAACAUCAUA
Molecule: long non-coding RNA, 2088 nt
Organism: Triticum aestivum (bread wheat)
Lineage: Eukaryota; Viridiplantae; Streptophyta; Magnoliopsida; Poales; Poaceae
Exons: 8
Source: RefSeq, a predicted model, not a curated record